This 745-nucleotide ribosomal RNA is filed under the name uncultured bacterium. RNAcentral's name for it is "bacterial SSU rRNA". It matches the Rfam family "Bacterial small subunit ribosomal RNA", at positions 191 to 925 of the family's 1533-position model. The record is from RNAcentral.
AAGUUCUUGGGCUUUGGUCUGGGUUCGGCUGGGGAUGGGCCUGCGGCCUAUCAGCUUGUUGGUGGGGUGAUGGCCUACCAAGGCGACGACGGGUAGCCGGCCUGAGAGGGCGACCGGCCACACUGGGACUGAGACACGGCCCAGACUCCUACGGGAGGCAGCAGUGGGGAAUAUUGCGCAAUGGGCGGAAGCCUGACGCAGCGACGCCGCGUGGGGGAUGACGGCCUUCGGGUUGUAAACCUCUUUCGCCAUCGACGAAGGUUCUGUGGUUGUGAGGCUGCAGGGUUGACGGUAGGUGGAGAAGAAGCACCGGCCAACUACGUGCCAGCAGCCGCGGUAAUACGUAGGGUGCGAGCGUUGUCCGGAAUUAUUGGGCGUAAAGAGCUCGUAGGCGGUGUGUCGCGUCGGCCGUGAAAACCUGCAGCUUAACUGUGGGCGUGCGGUCGAUACGGGCAUCACUGGAGUUCGGCAGGGGAGACUGGAAUUCCUGGUGUAGCGGUGAAAUGCGCAGAUAUCAGGAGGAACACCGGUGGCGAAGGCGGGUCUCUGGGCCGAUACUGACGCUGAGGAGCGAAAGCGUGGGGAGCGAACAGGAUUAGAUACCCUGGUAGUCCACGCCGUAAACGGUGGGCGCUAGGUGUGGGGGCCAUUCCACGGUCUCUGUGCCGCAGCUAACGCAUUAAGCGCCCCGCCUGGGGAGUACGGCCGCAAGGCUAAAACUCAAAGGAAUUGACGGAAUCGAAUU